RNAcentral lists this ribosomal RNA (483 nucleotides) under uncultured Methanosaeta sp. RNAcentral describes it as "bacterial SSU rRNA". It matches the Rfam family "Archaeal small subunit ribosomal RNA", at positions 856 to 1338 of the family's 1478-position model. The record is from RNAcentral. Lineage: Archaea; Methanobacteriati; Methanobacteriota; Methanomicrobia; Methanotrichales; Methanotrichaceae.
UUAAAGGAAGUUGACGGGGGAGCACCACAACGGGUGGAGCUUGCGGUUUAAUUGGAUUCAACGCCGGAAAUCUUACCGGGACCGACAGCAAUAUGAAGGCCAGGCUGAAGACUUUGCCGGAUUAGCUGAGAGGUGGUGCAUGGCCGUCGUCAGUUCGUACUGUGAAGCAUCCUGUUAAGUCAGGCAACGAGCGAGACCCACGCCCACAGUUGCCAGCGUACUCUCCGGAGUGACGGGUACACUGUGGGACCGCCGCUGCUAAAGCGGAGGAAGGAAUGGGCAACGGUAGGUCAGUAUGCCCCGAAUAUCCCGGGCUACACGCGAGCUACAAUGGUUGGUACAAUGGGUAUCUACCCCGAAAGGGGACGGGAAUCUCCUAAAACCAAUCUUAGUUCGGAUUGAGGGCUGCAACUCGCCCUCAUGAAGCUGGAAUCCGUAGUAAUCGCGUUUCAACAGAACGCGGUGAAUACGUCCCUGCUCCUU